CUUUUUGAGGCAGCUACCAGAAGGGAGCACCAAGCAGAUGCAGCUCCCCUUCCCUCCCAUUCCACCAUCCACUGUCCCCAGCAAGAACCUGCGGGAGGGUGGCCCAAUGGGGAGAAAACUAAGGAUUCGGUGUUGGGACCACUCCUGCCCUGACCUGCCCUGUGACUCCGUCAUACUCUCCAAAGGCCAGACCCUCCUAGACCAGCUGGAACCACCAUCAAGAUGUCCCCAGCCAUGUCAGACUCUGGGGCCCCAGGCGGAGGGCAACCAGAUGUCUUCAGCUCCAAGUCUGGCCUCUCCUCCCAGCAAGCAGCCACCUCUGAUGGCCAACAGGUGCUGCUGUGUGCCCAGAUCAAGAAUCCACCUCUGCGGAAUUCAAAACCGCUGAGGGUUCUGGGACAGCAGGGAGGAGAGAGGUGGAGACGCAACAUGGGUUUUCUGUGUUCAGACUGCAGAGACCUUGGAAAGGAUCAACCAUAUACAAUGUCCAUUUCCUGCCCUCUAACCUGGCAGGGGAGCAAGGCCCAGCCAAGGAGUUACAGAAACUGAGGCUUGGCCAGGCGUGGUGGCUCACACCUGCAAUCUCAGCACUGGGAGGCCAAGGUGGGCAGAUCGCUUGAGCCCAGGAGUUUGAGACCAGCCCGAGGAACAUGGCGAAACCCCAUCUCUACAAAAAAUACAGAAAUUAGCCAAGUGUGGUGGCACGUGUCUGUAGUUUCAGCUACUCAGGAGGCUUAGGUGGGAGGAUCACCUGAGCCUGGGAGGUAGAGGUUGCAAUGAGCAGAGAUUGCUCUCCAGCCAGGGAGACAGAGUGAGACCCUGUCCCAAAAUAAAUAAAUAAAUAAGAAUAAAAUUUAAAAAAGAAACUGAGGCUCAAAGAGAACAAGUGACUAGUUCAAGGACUCAUUUUCACUAAGCUGGGACCAGAUCCCAGGGUUCUAACCGCUUACCAGAUCCUUUUCCAUUACCCUCUUGUUUAACCACAUCUUGAGUACCUGCUGUGGGCCAGGAGCUGAGAUACUUUGGAGAGUCUUUCAGGAAUAUUGUCCCAGCUCCUGAAACCUUUAGGGAUCCCCAAGUUCUAGACUCUGGCCAAAGCCGGCUGCCUUCACCCCCACCAAGGGAGACCCCCACAAACCAAGGGAGCCCUGCUCUCAGGUGCACAGGGCCUCUUCUCUCUGGGAGGUGACAGUUUUUUGAGGGUGGGGCCAGACACCUCCCAGGCUAUCCCUCACAGGAGAGGAUGGUCUGGACUGGAGGAGUAGAAGCAAGUAGGCACUGGGGAAGGGGAGGAGAGCGUCCUGAGUCCCAAGGGUCAGAGAUAGGAGCAAGAAGGAAACUGACGUGUUGCAGGGCGUGUGGUUAAGGAAGUGAGAGAGGGGCUCAGGGUCGAUUCUGCCUGCUUUUCCUUCCUCCAGCUUGCUCAGCACUCUUCCCAGAAUGUGGGCCCCAAACUGCCAGGUGACAAACAAUGCCCCCACCCCAAGAGAGUCAUCCAGCAUGUUUGAAGCUCCAUCUGGUCCUGUACACCAGUUGCACACCACCAAACGCAGACCCAUGACCACUCCACAACCUCGCACACAGACAGGGCAAAUCCCACCACAGAUCCGUGCAUCCCAGGCAUGCAGGCAAUGCGAUACUGACACAUGCCCGCCCCGCCCACGCCUGGGCCUCUGAACCCUGCUCCAGUCUCCUCAGUCAAGGGCGGCGGCCCCCUCAGGCCUCUUCCACCCUUUUGCCCCAUUCAGAUGCCUGGUUCCCAGCAUUGCUUGGGUAGAGACUCCCGCCUGACAAGCCCCAGCAGGCCAAGUUGAUGAGCCGGCCAAGCAAGCCUGUGUCUCCGCAGCGCCCUCCAUGUACACAUAACCCCCAUCACCGGGAACCUGGGCACCCCGCACUGGCACUAUGUCUGGCCCACGGGUAGGGGAUGGUUCCCAGGGUCUCCCCAGACCCAGUGCUCUUCCCCUGUAGGGCCACUCUUGCCCAGGGUUAGGAUGGACUGUGCUCCCUCUCCCUCAAACUAGGCCAGAGCCACGGAAGCCUGGGAAGGGAGAUGAGGAAGCACUUGUCACUCCAGACAUCCCACCACCAUCAGGGAGGUGGGCUGAGAUAAUGCCAAAUGCACAAAAUCCUCAAAAUCUGUCUGGGCAUGAUGAUUCAUGCCUAUAAUCCCAGCACUCUGGGAGGCCAAGGCAGGAGGAUCGCUUGAGCCCAGAAGUUCAAGACCAGCCUGGGCAACACAGCGAAACCCCGUCUCUACAAAAAAUAUAAAAAUUAGCCAGGUGUGGUAGUGCAUGCCUGUGGUCUCAACUACUCAGGAGGCUGAGGUGGGGAGGAUCACCUGAACCCAGGGAGGUCAAGGCUGCAGUGUGAGACCCGGUCUCAAAAAAAAAAAAAAAAAGGCUGGGCAACUUGGCAAGACCCCAUCUCUACAAAAAAUUUAAAAAUUAAUCGGGGAUGGUGGCGUGCACCUCUGGUCCCAGCUAUUCAGGAGGCUAAGGUGGGAAGAUCACUUGAGCCCAGGAAGUCAAGGGUGCAGUGAGCUGUGUUCGCGCCACUGCACUCCAGCCUGGGUGACGGACCAAGACCCUGUCUCAAAAAAAAAAAAAAAAAAAAAACUCCCCAAGUUCUUUCAGUGGCAGCACAGCUCAGGGGCUGACACACGGGAUCUGGAGUCCUCUGGAGGCUGAGUCAGAGCCCUAUCUCUACCACUUUCUAGAUAUGAGACUUUGGGUGAGUUACUUAACCUCUUUAAGCCUUGGUUCCUCAUCAAUAAAAUGGUAAUGA
RNAcentral lists this long non-coding RNA (2787 nucleotides) under Homo sapiens (human). RNAcentral's name for it is "non-protein coding lnc-SRCIN1-1:18". The record is from RNAcentral. Lineage: Eukaryota; Metazoa; Chordata; Mammalia; Primates; Hominidae.